GGGUUGGCGGCGAGUGGCGGACGGGUGAGGAAUACAUCGGAAUCUACCCUGUCGUGGGGGAUAACUAACCGAAAGGUUAGCUAAUACCGCAUACGACCGAGAGGUGAAAGCGGAGGACCGCAAGGCUUCGCGCGAUUGGAUGAGCCGAUGUCGGAUUAGCUAGUUGGCGGGGUAAGAGCCCACCAAGGCGACGAUCCGUAGCUGGUCUGAGAGGAUGAUCAGCCACACUGGGACUGAGACACGGCCCAGACUCCUACGGGAGGCAGCAGUGGGGAAUAUUGGACAAUGGGCGCAAGCCUGAUCCAGCAAUGCCGCGUGUGUGAAGAAGGCCUUCGGGUUGUAAAGCACUUUUAUCGGGAGCGAAAAGCGCGUGGUUAAUACCCAUGCGUCAUGACGGUACCCGAUGAAUAAGCACCGGCUAACUUCGUGCCAGCAGCCGCGGUAAUACGAAGGGUGCAAGCGUUA
RNAcentral lists this ribosomal RNA (465 nucleotides) under uncultured bacterium. RNAcentral's name for it is "bacterial SSU rRNA". It matches the Rfam family "Bacterial small subunit ribosomal RNA", at positions 82 to 543 of the family's 1533-position model. The record is from RNAcentral.